This 78-nucleotide non-coding RNA is filed under the name Gracilinema caldarium. Its description in RNAcentral is "Treponema caldarium Fluoride sequence". It matches the Rfam family "Fluoride riboswitch aptamer (crcB RNA motif)". RNAcentral also lists the same sequence under 1 other name. The record is from RNAcentral. Lineage: Bacteria; Pseudomonadati; Spirochaetota; Spirochaetia; Treponematales; Breznakiellaceae.
AAGGUAUGAGGUGAUGGAGUUCACCAACGAGCGCAUUCGCUCUGAACCGCCUUCCUGGCCGAUAACUCCUAUGAAGGA